This is a long non-coding RNA of Columba livia (rock pigeon), 715 nucleotides long. RefSeq lists it as uncharacterized. The transcript has 3 exons. The record is from RefSeq and is a predicted model, not a curated record. Lineage: Eukaryota; Metazoa; Chordata; Aves; Columbiformes; Columbidae.
CAAAACAUAAGUGAGUCAGUCUUUAAAUCUUUCACCAGAUAAUUUCUCUCUUAUAAUGUGCUCUUUCUAUCCACUAAUUUGACAGUAUGUUCUUUUAAAUGUAGGUAUCUGAUCGAUGUCUCUGGGUAAGUUCAUCUGGCUGAUGAAACAAAACAGCAAUAUCUAACGACAACGUCUGGCACAGGCCAGAUCAUCUGUCUCUAGUCUGUCUGCCAUUGUCCUUUCUCCUACUACGCAUCUAAGAGGAAAAAAUUCUGGUGAACAAUUUCUUCGUAUACCUUCGGAAUCAGUCAAGAGUGGAGGAGAGGAAGUAAAAGAUUCAUGGUGUAUUUGAGCUGAUUCAAGAACCUAUGAGAGGAAGGGGAGAAGGCAACAAAGGACAGAGACAGAAUUAAUUCAGGAAAAAGGAUAUUGAAACAAUCUAUAGAUGAAAAUACAGAACAUUGUCACAAGUUCAGAAAUAGCAAAUUUUCCACUGGAAAGUUGAUCAGCUUUAAAGUGAUGUUGAUGUACCCAAAGUAUCUAGCUUUCCACAAAGCUUUUCCUGUAGUUUUGAUCUGUAUGCAAAGCUUCUGAGAUAAUUGCAAGACAUAACAAACAAACUAAAUUGUACUGCUUAAUUUCAGCAAGUAAGGCAAAUUACUUAUUUAUUGCAACCUUUAUUGGGAGCUAAAACAAGCUGAAUACAUUCUGAAAUUUUAUGAAGUUUCUCUUA